Long non-coding RNA from Syngnathoides biaculeatus (alligator pipefish), 479 nucleotides. RefSeq lists it as uncharacterized. The record is from RefSeq and is a predicted model, not a curated record. The transcript is spliced from 4 exons. NCBI's taxonomy places the organism in Eukaryota, Metazoa, Chordata, Actinopteri, Syngnathiformes, Syngnathidae.
UAUCUAAACCGCUUAUCCUCAGAAGGGUUGCGGGACAGCUGGAGCCUAGCCCAGCUAGCCUCAGGCAAAAGGCAGACUACACCCUGAACUGAUCAGCAGGUAGGUAAACAUCAUCAUCACUGAGCGGGAAUCGAUCCUGCGCUGCCUGCACCAAAGACAGGCGUGUGUACCACUACACCAUCAGUGACUACAAACCAAAUAUCAAGGAAUAUAAACAUCAAAGGCCAAUCAGGCUCGCUUCCCGACAUAAUUUUCUCUGCAAAUAUUGACGGCGAUUUUCCUCGGCAUUGACACCAGCGGGCGCCAACGCUUCGCUCAUCCCUCAGGAAGAAACCGGAGUGCCCGGAGGAAACCCACCCAGGCACGGGGAGAACAUGCAAACUCCACACAGUUUGUGGUCACCAACCUGUGAGAAGAGCGCCCCCUGCAGCCCGGCUUGGUCUGUGGCCCGAACGCGGAGCCGGUAUGUGUCUUGACUU